UAUAGUGGACUUGAAAAUGGAAAGAAAUUCCUUUGGUGUUACUCCUCUGGUCAUGCAAUUAUUUUAUGUAAUUCAGUGGGGGUGGAUGUAACAGGGUUAAAAAGAGUACUUAAUUUAAGAGUUUUGAUGUGUGAAUUUCAUAAAAUAAGCAUUUGGUUAAAUUCAUUGGUGUUCAAAGGCUCCCCUCCUGUGGCUAUUAAUGGUACUGCAGACAGUGUAUUUUGUCGCUCUUCUCUUGCCGUACUCCAGCAGAUUUGAGUGUCGCUGCUGUGGUCUUGAAUGUCUGCAGUAGUUUAUCUUCAGCCAAAGUGAUUUGUGCCAUUUUAUUUCCAAAAGAUAAAGGCAAGCACAAGGAAACCCACGUGUGAGUGUGUUUGUUCACGUCUGUU
Long non-coding RNA from Carassius auratus (goldfish), 389 nucleotides. RefSeq lists it as uncharacterized. The transcript has 3 exons. Lineage: Eukaryota; Metazoa; Chordata; Actinopteri; Cypriniformes; Cyprinidae. The record is from RefSeq and is a predicted model, not a curated record.